RNAcentral lists this ribosomal RNA (53 nucleotides) under uncultured fungus. RNAcentral's name for it is "partial 28S ribosomal RNA". Lineage: Eukaryota; Fungi. The record is from RNAcentral.
CAUUUGAUCUCAAAUCAGGUAGGACUACCCGCUGAACUUAAGCAUAUCAAUAA